GGUAGUGCCGGGCCGGGUGCGGGGGUAAUACGGGAAGUGCGGGCGUUAGCCGGGUUUAUUGAGUGUAAAGGGAGCGGAGGACGGGGAUUGAGCGUGUUGUGAAAUGUAGACGCGCAACGUCUGCACGGCAGUGCGAACUGGUUUCCUUGAGUACGCACAAAGUGGGCGGAAUUCGUGGUGUAGCGGUGAAAUGCUUAGAUAUCACGAAGAACUCCGAUUGCGAAGGCAGCUGACGGUAGCGCAACUGACGCUGAGGUUCGAAAGUGCGGGUAUCGAACAGGAUUAGAUACCCGUGUAGUC
Molecule: ribosomal RNA, 300 nt
Filed under: uncultured Helicobacter sp.
Lineage: Bacteria; Pseudomonadati; Campylobacterota; Epsilonproteobacteria; Campylobacterales; Helicobacteraceae
Description: bacterial SSU rRNA
Rfam family: Bacterial small subunit ribosomal RNA
Source: RNAcentral